UACGUAGGGUGCAAGCGUUAAUCGGAAUUACUGGGCGUAAAGCGUGCGCAGGCGGUUGUGUAAGACAGAUGUGAAAUCCCCGGGCUCAACCUGGGAACUGCAUUUGUGACUGCACGGCUGGAGUGCGGCAGAGGGGGAUGGAAUUCCAGGUGUAGCGGUGAAAUGCGUAGAUAUCUGGAGGAACACCGGUGGCGAAGGCGGCAUCCUGGACCAACACUGACGCUGAGUGAGCGAAAGCCAGGGGAGCAAACGGG
Molecule: ribosomal RNA, 254 nt
Filed under: uncultured bacterium
Lineage: Bacteria
Description: partial 16S ribosomal RNA
Rfam family: Bacterial small subunit ribosomal RNA
Source: RNAcentral